GAGGUUUACGAGAAUGAUCCCAGGAAUGAUUGAGUCAACACAUGAUGAGUGUUUGAUGGCACUGUGUCUGUAUUCGCUGGCGUUUAGAAGGAUGAGUGGGCACUUCUUUGAAACUUAUCGAACAGUGAAAGGGCUGGACAGAGUGGAUGUGGAG
Amblyraja radiata (thorny skate) is the source of this 154-nucleotide long non-coding RNA. RefSeq lists it as uncharacterized. The record is from RefSeq and is a predicted model, not a curated record. The transcript is spliced from 3 exons. Lineage: Eukaryota; Metazoa; Chordata; Chondrichthyes; Rajiformes; Rajidae.